Lactuca sativa (garden lettuce) is the source of this 874-nucleotide long non-coding RNA. RefSeq lists it as uncharacterized. The record is from RefSeq and is a predicted model, not a curated record. NCBI's taxonomy places the organism in Eukaryota, Viridiplantae, Streptophyta, Magnoliopsida, Asterales, Asteraceae.
UUGUGCCAUUGAUAACAAAAAAAAUAUUCAUAAACUAAAAUCCCUCCAAAUUUUAAUUCCCCCUCUGUACUUACCACCAAAACUUAAUUCAAAUUAAUCAAAAUUUGACUUCCGCUAAAUUUUUGUUGCCCUCGAUUUUGAGUAUUACCUUUUUUUUCCAUUACAACUCAGUCUACUAAAAUCAGAACUUCCAUAUCAAAUGAGAUCAUGAAAUUUGCUCUCCAUUACUACAUUGCGAUUGGCUCAUCCAAUACUACACAUCAGUAAUCGAAAACAUCUCCAUCAGAACCAUCCUGAUUUCAAAAUUUCUCUUCUCGUUGUGUGUAAAUGUGUAAUUGUUGUUGGAUUUCAUCAUUCCCCUUGUUAAGGUGAUUUUGUCAUGCUAAAGCUUCUUGAUAUACAAUUUGUUGAUGAAAGUUACACAAAACUUGCAGGUUAAACUAAUGGUUGUUUUUCACUCUUUUGUUGAAUAGUUGAUAUUUGCCUUCAUUAUUUUUUUCAGGUUUGAGAAUAUAAGAAAUGUGCAGCAGAAAUCAAUGUUAUGAAAACAUAAGUUCCAAGAUUGCCUUAUCCAUAUUCAUCCCUGAGAACAUAAAAACAGUUGUGGUUGCCUCCUAUUUGGAGGAUCGAGGAAGACAAUGUGGAAUUUCUAAGUGCAGAAGUAGAGCAUACAUAUAUGGAAAUGGAUAAAAGAUAGCACAUGGCUGAAAAGGUUUAAUGACAUGUAUGUUUGAUUACCUUGUGAAGUUUUUACUUCAUUUGUUUUUAUAGAAUUGGUAUAAUAUGUAUAUAGCUUUGCAAAAAUGAUCUAACUUUUAUUGUUUUAUAUAUCACAUUAAUAACAAUAGCAUUCAUAUAUGCAACGUGUAUUUUA